This 196-nucleotide small nuclear RNA is filed under the name Eucalyptus grandis. RNAcentral's name for it is "U2 spliceosomal RNA". It matches the Rfam family "U2 spliceosomal RNA". Rfam says of the family: U2 is a small nuclear RNA (snRNA) component of the spliceosome (involved in pre-mRNA splicing). Complementary binding between U2 snRNA (in an area lying towards the 5' end but 3' to hairpin I) and the branchpoint sequence (BPS) of the intron results the bulging out of an unpaired adenosine, on the BPS, which initiates a nucleophilic attack at the intronic 5' splice site, thus starting the first of two transesterification reactions that mediate splicing. The record is from Rfam by way of RNAcentral. Lineage: Eukaryota; Viridiplantae; Streptophyta; Magnoliopsida; Myrtales; Myrtaceae.
AUACCUUUCUCGGCCUUUUGGCUAAGAUCAAGUGUAGUAUCUGUUCUUAUCAGUUUAAUAUCUGAUACGUGGGCCAUCGGUCCACAUGAUAUUAAAUUAAUUUCUUUAGGGGGAGAGAACAUCACGGUAGCUUGCUAUUGGGUCUCUCGCGCGUCGCCUCGGUGUUGCACUGCUGCCUUGGCCCGGCGUACCCCUC